GAUGAACGCUGGCGGCGUGCCUAAUACGUGCAAGUCGAGCGAACAGACGAGGAGCUUGCUCCUCUGACGUUAGCGGCGGACGGAUGAGUAACACGUGGAUAACCUACCUAUAAGACUGGGAUAACUUCGGGAAACCGGAGCUAAUACCGGAUAAUAUAUUGAACCGCAUGGUUCAAUAGUGAAAGACGGUUUUGCUGUCACUUAUAGAUGGAUCCGCGCCGCAUUAGCUAGUUGGUAAGGUAACGGCUUACCAAGGCAACGAUGCGUAGCCGACCUGAGAGGGUGAUCGGCCACACUGGAACUGAGACACGGUCCAGACUCCUACGGGAGGCAGCAGUAGGGAAUCUUCCGCAAUGGGCGAAAGCCUGACGGAGCAACGCCGCGUGAGUGAUGAAGGUCUUCGGAUCGUAAAACUCUGUUAUUAGGGAAGAACAAAUGUGUAAGUAACUAUGCACGUCUUGACGGUACCUAAUCAGAAAGCCACGGCUAACUACGUG
Molecule: ribosomal RNA, 497 nt
Filed under: uncultured bacterium
Lineage: Bacteria
Description: partial 16S ribosomal RNA
Rfam family: Bacterial small subunit ribosomal RNA
Source: RNAcentral